This 473-nucleotide ribosomal RNA is filed under the name uncultured bacterium. RNAcentral describes it as "SSU rRNA". It matches the Rfam family "Bacterial small subunit ribosomal RNA", at positions 26 to 518 of the family's 1533-position model. The record is from RNAcentral.
AGGAUAAACGCUGGCGGCGUGCAUGAGACAUGCAAGUCGAACGGACGAUCAGGGCUUGCUCUGAUCGUUAGUGGCGGACGGCUGAGUAACGCGUAGGUGACCUGCCCCGAAGUGGGGAAUAACUGCCCGAAAGGGUGGCUAAUACCGCAUGUGGUGGUGUGUUCAUUCACACCAGUAAAGCCGCAAGGCGCUUCGGGAGGGGCCUGCGUCCGAUUAGCUCGUUGGUGGGGUAACGGCUCACCAAGGCGACGAUCGGUAGGUGGUCUGAGAGGACGAUCACCCAGACUGGGACUGAGACACGGCCCAGACUCCUACGGGAGGCAGCAGUCGGGAAUUUUUGCGCAAUGGACGAAAGUCUGACGCAGCAACGCCGCGUGAGGGAUGAAGGCCUUCGGGUUGUAAACCUCUUUAUCAGGGAAGAUAAUGACGGUACCUGAUGAAUAAGUCACGGCUAACUUCGUGCCAGCAGCCGC